CUUGUUUCUUCAGUUUGUUCCAUUCUGUGCAUCUGUUGUACUUUUCUUUUUCUGUCUUCAGACUGUCUCACUGUCUUUAACGCUAAGCCCGGUCAUUCUAAAAGGACCUGUAAUUCUUUCUCUUUACUGUUUGCACUAGGUUUGCAUGUUGAGAUACAUUGAUCCUUGACAAAAUCAUUGCAUCACUACGUGUAAAAAAUACUAGGGACACACAAUGUAUUCUGCUUUUUGGGAUUGUU
This is a non-coding RNA of Pelobates cultripes (western spadefoot toad), 239 nucleotides long. The record is from the annotation of a GenBank genome assembly. NCBI's taxonomy places the organism in Eukaryota, Metazoa, Chordata, Amphibia, Anura, Pelobatidae.